AAUAUGACUUUACAUAGCUCUACUUCGCAGAGCUUAAUGGCUUUCUACUUGUUAACCGUUAACUGCUAUUGGUUGAUGUGUCACAAUCACUAACUGCAUGCAGUAAAACAGUGCUAUGCAUUUGUCUGUGUGCAGAGGAAGUACUGUGACUGCACUUCUCUACGUCUUUUAAGGGUCUUUUGUAGAAGGUGAAUUUAAAAGACACAAAGACUAGGAUGGCCAGUUGCGGGUCGUGUUUCUGGAGCAUUGUGUGGCUGGUGAUUUUACUGAUCAUAGGCUGGCCCCUCAGUAUCUUACUCGGGGGGCUGUAUGGCCUCAUCACCCCCCUGACCACCUGUGUGGGCCUGGACCGCCUGUCAGACCUGCUCCUGGAGGGGGCCAACCUGGGUCGGACCUGUGCCCAGAACAUGAAACACGGCAAGGCAGUGUGCUGAGACCGGUCCUGGUCCUGACUGCUGGUUCUGGUCCUGUCACCGUGGAAACAGACAAACGUUUCCUGCACAGAGGAAGAGUCACUGUUACUGUUCAUGCCAAAGGCCAUUGUGUUAUUGUUCGUCUUGUCACGUUAUUGAGGUGUUAAUAUAAGUCCAAAGCCAAAACACAAGGAAAACUUCACUUACCAAACUUUUAACAAAAUGAUUAUGCUCGCUCUAUAAAAGUGCUAUUAACAGUGGAUGUUCUUUUUUUUGUUUGGGUUUAUCUAUUCUACAACUUGAAAUACAGAUACUUUGCAUUCAUAGCCUGAAUUUGCUGAUUUUAAUUCAUGAUGACAUCCUGCACAGUGCAGAUAAGAAUGUUCUAAAGCUUAACUUUAACAGUAGAGCAGUUAUGGAUUUAAACUAAAAGUGAUACAAUUAUUUUGAACUUACAUAGUGUUUAUUGAUCGAAUUGUCAUUAGACAGAAAAUAAAAUGUCUGCCUGUCUCUAAUAUUUUACAUAGGAAUAUCUCUGCAUUGUCAAUCCUCAGAAACAUUUUCAGACUGAAGUGGAAGAUUUAAAUUGCACUUUUACAAGUUUACAAGCUCUCUAUUUCUCCACCUCGAAAUGAGGUAGUACAUUGUGGAAUUCCGACUACUGGUCCACUUCUCUUACCUUAGGGUUAACUACCUCUUACCUUAGGGUUAACUACAAACUUUAAAAUGAAGUUUCAGUUCUCUCUGUUUGACUAUACACUAAGCCUUGUCUCACGGCUUAUAAAUCCUCCUCUAACCUGUCUCCUCCCCUUCAUCUACACUAAUUGAAGGUGAUUUAACAAGUGGCAUCAAUAAGGGAUCAUAGCUUUCACCUGGUCAGUCUAGUUCAUGGAAAGUGCAGGUGUUAAUGUUUUGUAUGCUCAGUGUACAUGAGAAGAUAAUGUAGAGAUGGCCAUAUGCAGUAAUUGGAAAUGUAUGCCAAAUAAGGAAAGUGCCAGCUCAUCAGCGUUUCUUUGCUUAUAGGGAAGGUUUUGGUGUGAACUUGUUAGAUGAUGAGAACAGAUGGAAAUCUGGAUGAAGUCCUGUAACAUAUUUUGAUGCACUGUGAAUGUCAGAUACUCUAGGCUCUCCCUCAAUAAAGUGCUGAGAUUUAUGGAUCUAUCAGCAAUCAUAAAAGUUCAA
Molecule: non-coding RNA, 1595 nt
Organism: Salmo salar (Atlantic salmon)
Lineage: Eukaryota; Metazoa; Chordata; Actinopteri; Salmoniformes; Salmonidae
Source: RefSeq, a predicted model, not a curated record